UCCCUAGCAGUCUAGUGUUUAGGACUUAGCGCUUUCACUGCCAGAGCCUGGGUUCAAUCCCCAGUCAGGGAA
This 72-nucleotide transfer RNA is filed under the name Bos indicus (zebu cattle). It matches the Rfam family "tRNA". From Rfam's summary of the family: Transfer RNA (tRNA) molecules are approximately 80 nucleotides in length. Their secondary structure includes four short double-helical elements and three loops (D, anti-codon, and T loops). Further hydrogen bonds mediate the characteristic L-shaped molecular structure. tRNAs have two regions of fundamental functional importance: the anti-codon, which is responsible for specific mRNA codon recognition, and the 3' end, to which the tRNAs corresponding amino acid is attached (by aminoacyl-tRNA synthetases). tRNAs cope with the degeneracy of the genetic code in two manners: having more than one tRNA (with a specific anti-codon) for a particular amino acid; and 'wobble' base-pairing, i.e. permitting non-standard base-pairing at the 3rd anti-codon position. The record is from Rfam by way of RNAcentral. Lineage: Eukaryota; Metazoa; Chordata; Mammalia; Artiodactyla; Bovidae. RNAcentral also lists the same sequence under 3 other names.